GUGGUACUCCCUCCAUUCAGAAUUACUCGUCAAAAAAUGAAUGUAUCUAGAUGUAUUUCAGUUGUAGAUACAUCCAUUUUUAUCCAUUUUUGUGACAAGUAAUUCCGAACGGAGGGAGUAGUAU
Molecule: non-coding RNA, 124 nt
Organism: Triticum aestivum (bread wheat)
Lineage: Eukaryota; Viridiplantae; Streptophyta; Magnoliopsida; Poales; Poaceae
Source: Rfam